ACGUAGGGAGCAAGCGUUAUCCGGAAUCACUGGGCGUAAAGAGCUCGUAGGCGGUCUUGUAAGUCGCAUGUUAAAUCCCCGGGCUUAACCCGGGAACUGCGUGCGAAACUGCUUGGCUAGAGGACGGGAGAGGAAAGUGGAAUUCCAGGUGUAGCGGUGAAAUGCAUAGAUAUCUGGAAGAACACCAGUGGCGAAGGCGGCUUUCUGGACCGUUUCUGACGCUGAGGAGCGAAAGCUAGGGGAGAGAACGG
This 251-nucleotide ribosomal RNA is filed under the name uncultured prokaryote. Its description in RNAcentral is "partial 16S rRNA". It matches the Rfam family "Bacterial small subunit ribosomal RNA", at positions 525 to 775 of the family's 1533-position model. The record is from RNAcentral.